CCUACGGGAGGCAGCAGUAGGGAAUCUUCCACAAUGGGCGCAAGACUGAUGGAGCAACACCGCGUGAGUGAAGAAGGGUUUCGGCUCGUAAAGCUCUGUUUUUGGAGAAGAACGUGCGUGAGAGUAACUGUUCACGCAGUGACGGUAUCCAACCAGAAAGUCUCGGCUAACUACGUGCCAGCAGCCGCGGUAAUACGUAGGUGGCAAGCGUUAUCCGGAUUUAUUGGGCGUAAAGCGAGCGCAUGCGGUUGCUUAGGUCUGAUGUGAAAGCCUUCGGCUUAACCGAAGAAGUGCAUCGGAAACCGGGCAACUUGAGUGGAGGAGAGGACAGUGGAACGCCAGGUGUAGCGGUGGAAUGCGUAGAUAUAUGGAAGAACACCAGUGGCGAAGGCGGCUGUCUGGUCUGCAACUGACGCUGAGGCUCGAAAGCAUGGGUAGCGAACAGGAUUAGAUACCCGGGUAGUC
RNAcentral lists this ribosomal RNA (465 nucleotides) under uncultured bacterium. RNAcentral describes it as "partial 16S ribosomal RNA". It matches the Rfam family "Bacterial small subunit ribosomal RNA", at positions 338 to 795 of the family's 1533-position model. The record is from RNAcentral.